Molecule: ribosomal RNA, 253 nt
Filed under: uncultured bacterium
Lineage: Bacteria
Description: partial 16S ribosomal RNA
Rfam family: Bacterial small subunit ribosomal RNA
Source: RNAcentral
UACGAAGGGGGCGAGCGUUGUUCGGAGUUACUGGGCGUAAAGGGCGCGUAGGCGGCGCUCCAAGUUAGGCGUGAAAGCCCCGGGCUUAACCUGGGAAUGGCAUUCAGGACUGCGAGGCUAGAGUGCGGCAGAGGGGGAUGGAAUUCCGCGUGUAGCAGUGAAAUGCGUAGAUAUGCGGAGGAACACCGAUGGCGAAGGCAAUCCCCUGGGCCUGCACUGACGCUCAUGCACGAAAGCGUGGGGAGCAAACAGG